This is a long non-coding RNA of Pseudopipra pipra, 694 nucleotides long. RefSeq lists it as uncharacterized. The record is from RefSeq and is a predicted model, not a curated record. The transcript has 3 exons. Lineage: Eukaryota; Metazoa; Chordata; Aves; Passeriformes; Pipridae.
CGGUCCUGCCACAAAAUCAAUCGGUGGCUGUUCCCUGCUGUGUGUUUGUGCCGGGGCUGCAGAUCAAUCUAACUCACUUGGAUGAAUCCACAAGGGGAAGGAAUUUAGAAAGGAAAAAUGCCUCGGUGAUGCUCAGCUUAGCUUGUUGCUAUGCAACACCGUGCUGUAACCAUGGCAACCCCCCGGAGCACCGUGUUCGGCCCCUUUCUGGUACAGGCUGGAAAGAAAAUGGAAUAGGGAUCCUGGGGGCUUCUCCACACUGGGAAGGGCAGAGUUCUUGCUCCAGAGGUCUGGUGCCCCCCUUGGAGGAAUGCUCAAUCCCCAGGACAGCAGAGCAGAAGGAACCAGCUGGAGACGCUGCUGCAGAGCAGAUAAUUAAAGAGAUUGGAAAGAAAAAGCAGCUUUGGCGAAGAAUGAACACGCACACAAGCCCAGCCCAUCGCCCGCCGAGGAGCUGCUAAUAACAUCUCAUCUCUUGGUGAAUCUUCCAGGAUGAGCAGAGCACAUCUGAAAAUCAACGCACAUAAAAGAGCCUUUUGACCAAAAGAGAAAACACACCCGCGUUUGAAACACUGCAGAACCAACGACUCUCAUUAGCAUCUGCCUUUCUUCUGGAAUGGUCCUCGGGAGCGAUGGGAGCAGAUUUAACACUGUGUGGAUCAAAGGAACUCAACAGAACAGCCCUCGUGCCGAA